UAUCAGGAUGGGGGGCAGAUGGUAGCGCGGGGGCGACGAGAACGAAGAGCGAGAGGGACGGGCGGAGAGAAGGGAAAGGAAGAGCGGCAGGGCGGGAAGGGAACGACCGGUGGGGUGGUGUGUGUGUAUGUGUGUGGAGGAUUGGCACGACUACGCAGUAGUCGCAUUAAAAGCGUUUUCUCUCUUCGUCAAAAAUGCAGGACCAUCUACAAGAAAGUGAAAUGGACGCCCUUCUGGACGCUGUUGGAAACGAACUUCGACGAACUACUGAUCGCUACAUCGAUGUACGUAUACUCGUCGAGCUACCUAACGUACAGCGUGCCGUUCACGACCGUCUGGUACGCUCUAUUCAUCCAGCCAGACGGCGCGAUCAUCACUACAUGGUGGUACAUCAACAUCUUCAGUGACGGUGCAUGGACAGUGUCCUUCGUCUUCGGCAUGUGUAUCGCGUGCAGUAUCAUAGGAGUGCAGCGCGUAAAGAAGCUUACAUGCAUUAAUAAAAAACAUUUCGAUGACGAGUUCUCUUCACCGUUCUUCAACAUCCUUUACGUCUUGGGCGGCAUGACUGGUCAAGGAUUGCAGAAAGUACCGAGGGAUUUGUCCAUGCGCAUAAUAGCACUGGCACUGUUGAUGAUGGGGAUGCUGCUGUCCUACGGAUUCAGCAGCACUCUCACUUCCUGCCUGACGAGCAAAGGAAACUCCGUCGCCAUUACCAACCUUGAAGAUGUAGAGACAAAGCGAUCGCAUUCGCUUUGCAUGAGGAACAAUAGCGGCGCGUAUGGCUACUUCACUGUGGUACGUAAAAAUAGGAACAAAGAAAAAAUGCAUAAAUAAAACGCACGUUCUUUUCGAUGCCAAGAACGUGUCCCGAAAUUAAGAUCAUGGAAGAUCACGUCUCAAAACAAAACGCGAUGUUUCGCAGAACGAAACAAAGGACAGCGAACUUAAAGAUAAGUGGAAAGAAUUGGUGAACAAGGAUUGUCCCGACAUGUCGAACAAAGAGGUCCUCAUUUCGCAAAUGUGUCGUCCGGGUUUCGUGUACCUGGAAGUACCAGGCGUAUUUCUGCCAACUUAUAAGUUGGUUGAGCAUACCUGCGAGCUCCUGCAGUUGCAAACCACGUACUGGAAGAGGAAAUUGUCGUUUGUGCACACAAAAACGGCGUCACACCGACAACUCAUCGACGCUUACUUAAUGCGUAUGCGGUCGGCUGGGAUACUGACAUACCUCGAGAAAAAGUGGAUCCUGGACGAAUUCAACACCCCAGCUAGGCAUGUUCAAUCGAACACUUUCCAAGCGGUGGAAUUCGUACACAUUCGUUUGACCAUCUGCGCACUUUUCAUAAUGAUGUUCGUCAGCUCGUUCAUCUGCAUCUUGGAGAACGUUUGGUACAAGCAGCAAGAGAAAUCGCAAAGGAAAAAUUCUACUUUGAUAUUACUGGGAGUGCGCGAUAGCAAGCCGAAUCUCACGAAAGCGUAUCAAGCGAGAUCACGGCUGAGAUGGCGCAGAAAAUUCAAUUCAAUAUUGUUACUCGAUACAAACAAUUCCGAAUUCUUUCAGAAUGUUACAGUACGAAUUAAUCGGUGGCAAAUGUCGCGCUCGCGAUUAUAAAUACAUCCAAGAAUUGUAUUUGCAACAUUAUCUGGAACGAACUGCGUUUUUGAUAAACGGCAUGAUCCGCAGGUCAAUGUGUCUCAUCUCUAGAGCUUAAAAAAAUCACAUCGAAACAUCCCGAAGAAUACUAUCUAGCACGUUAUUAUUUUAUUACAUAACUUCCUGCGCAUGGAAUGAAAUAUUCAUUAAGAGAUUUGAAUAAUAUUAAUGAUUGAAUAUUAAUGGCUGGAAACGGUUGAUAAACCGUUUUUUUGUAAACAUACGAUAUUUGGUUCGUAUAGGAGCGAACAAUGCAAAGAGCGCAAUUUUAGCAGCGAGCGUGAAGGGUUGCUUCGCCUCGUUUAAUCUUGAUAGCGUAGUACAUAGUAUACAAUACAGAAAAAUAAUCAUGGCGAACAUCGUCACUGUGACCGACACAUCUUCCGCGUUACGCCAAUCCGUACGCGGAUUCCUUCUAGAAUUGCAACGUGCAAUCCGAUGCAACGGAGCUCCCUCUUUCUCUCAUUCUCUCUCUCGUCGCUACAAUAUUAUGUUAUUCACAAUUAUUAUAAACAACGGACAUUUACAAAUGCGUUAUGCAUCGGCAUCAGAUAUUUUAAGGCCUAUACAGAUCUUACGUUACAGUUAGAGAAACUUUGGCUUCUUCUUACGCGGUGUCCCGCAACUUUGAUUUUUCAGAAGGAAUACGGAAGCGAGGAGAGAUAGUUUGGCUGGGACGAUUUUCAGCGAGGAGCGAAAUCCUAAUAGACGAAGUGUCUCGACAGAUAUCUUUUAAGUAAUUCCCCGCUUCCGCAUUAUCGAUCUCCACGACUGGUUUAAUUCUAUUAGGGAUCCUAAACUUAAUCCUAAGAUGUCCAACGUGGACCUCAGCGUUCCCUUAUCUUGCGAAAUAUAUCGUAUUCUCCUCGAGCAUAAAAAUGUAUUUAACUGUGUUUGAUUAUUUUCUGGCCUAAGAUAUUCCCCGGAGGGUUUUCCAACGAAACGAGUCUCGCCUAUCUCUCUACUCGAUAGAAAAAAGGAAAAGAAACGAAGAGAGACGCGUAGGUAUGAUUUCGAUGUGUACGAAGAUAGACUUUUAGGAUUACCACUAUGACGUUCCAAUGGGGGGGUUUCCUCAGCGUCUCGAUGGUGCAACCUGAGGAAGAACUCAUUCCGAUCGUUAUGGAUGAUCUUGUGUCUGCGGCCGCGCUCGUUACACGAAUGUCACGGUAAUUAUUGGAGCAUUGUACGUUAAAUUGAAAUAUUGUAUAAUAAAUUAAUUAAUAAAAAGUGCAUCAAUAAUAAGUGUCUCGCGUGGUGUACAAUGACGUUUCGCGCUUACCUAUAAUAUAUAUCCUGUUUCUUUUAUGGAAAAUUGUUGCACGGAGGAGUUUGGUCUCGGUGUUUUUCCGAUAUGUGUCAAAAAUGAGCGAGUUUUGAUUUGGCGUCUCUUUUAAGAAGUUUGUUUGAGCUGCAAUAUUGCUACGAUAAAGGGAAUGAAAUUCGUGACACAGAGAAAUACAUGUAAAAGGACAUGGCACGCUACAUGGAUUCACAGAUACAUCACACUUCAUUAAUGAGAUUUCGAAAUUCCUCUUCGACCUUCAGAUUCAUUUCUCAAUUUAUCUUUCUCAAGAAGCGAGCUAGAAGUUUUGUGCGCACUCAUGAAAAUAAUGAGCAAAUACAGGUAAGCUAAGAACACGGCAAACGAUCGGAACUUCAAAGAGUUAGUAAUUAACAAAGGUCCACGGCCCAUUCUGCUGUGAACACGUAAAUUUCUCAAUCGGAAAAUCACAUUAUCUACAUUUUCCGUUCAACUUUCAUCAAUAAAACGUCAUAAACUCUUAAUUCAUCAAUAAAACGUUUCGUAACUCUGAACUAAGAAAAAAAUAUACAUACGUGGGAAUAUAUUCCGACAAUUCUGCGUAAGCGUGAGAUCAAGUCAAACGACAUUUCGCAGAUACCCUUAUGCGAACAUUAUCUCUAAUAUCAUCUCUGAGAAUCAUCGAUCACUGCACAAUAAAAUACAAUAUUUAAUCUUCCCAAUCAGUAAUUGCACGUCGAGUUUACAGAAUAUCUCUUUCUAUGUUCAAAAUUCCGAAGAAAAUUCAACAAUUCGUGAGAGUGGCGUCUGAUUCACAAAAAUUUGACGUUUGCAACGUCGAAUUUUUUCCUCUUUCUUUUUUAAUUGCACUAUUUUUAAUAAAAAUGGUUUUCCAGUCAGACGGAAGAGCCAAAAGGUGUUUUACACGAAUAUGAAAUAUGCACUGUAUGACACAAAAUAUACAAUUAAGCACAUUUAAAAAAAUUUCCUCGACAUCAGCGAUACGGUGUGUCAGUGCAGCGUAUCGCGUUACCGCGGCUUCAACGUCCGGAUUCCGUCUAGCUAGUCGAAAAUAGUUCUUAUAGAACGAGCUUCUCAAGCAUAAAACACUAGUAGAUCCUGCCUGCGAAAGAACGGUAUCCCACUCGUGUUCAACCAUCGGCUUGCCGAGAUCGUCGAAAGCAAAGUAACGCUUGCGCUCCUAAA
Molecule: unclassified non-coding RNA, 4121 nt
Filed under: Ooceraea biroi (clonal raider ant)
Lineage: Eukaryota; Metazoa; Arthropoda; Insecta; Hymenoptera; Formicidae
Description: uncharacterized LOC105279345, transcript variant X1
Source: RNAcentral